Molecule: non-coding RNA, 47 nt
Filed under: Trichobilharzia regenti
Lineage: Eukaryota; Metazoa; Platyhelminthes; Trematoda; Strigeidida; Schistosomatidae
Source: RNAcentral
AUCUAGCCGACGAGUCGCAAAUAGGACGAAAUGCGCUUGUGGUGGAU